GUAGGUGGCAAGCGUUGUCCGGAAUUAUUGGGCGUAAAGCGCGCGCAGGUGGUUCUUUAAGUCUGAUGUGAAAGCCCCCGGCUCAACCGGGGAGGGUCAUUGGAAACUGGGGAACUUGAGUGCAGGAGAGGAAAGUGGAAUUCCACGUGUAGCGGUGAAAUGCGUAGAUAUGUGGAGGAACACCAGUGGCGAAGGCGACUUUCUGGCCUGUAACUGACACUGAGGCGCGAAAGCGUGGGGAGCAAACAGGGAUUAGAUACCCUGGUAGUCCACGCCGUAAACGAUGAGUGCUAAGUGUUGGGGGGGUUUCCCGCCCCUCAGUGCUGCAGCUAACGCAUUAAGCACUCCGUCUGGGGAGUACGGUCGCAAGACUG
RNAcentral lists this ribosomal RNA (374 nucleotides) under uncultured organism. RNAcentral describes it as "partial 16S ribosomal RNA". It matches the Rfam family "Bacterial small subunit ribosomal RNA", at positions 527 to 896 of the family's 1533-position model. The record is from RNAcentral.